RNAcentral lists this ribosomal RNA (459 nucleotides) under uncultured bacterium. RNAcentral's name for it is "partial 16S ribosomal RNA". It matches the Rfam family "Bacterial small subunit ribosomal RNA", at positions 338 to 795 of the family's 1533-position model. The record is from RNAcentral.
CCUACGGGAGGCUGCAGUGAGGAAUAUUGGUCAAUGGACGCAAGUCUGAACCAGCCAUGCCGCGUGCAGGAAGACGGCUCUAUGAGUUGUAAACUGCUUUUGUACGAGGGUAAACGCAGAUACGCGUAUCUGUCUGAAAGUAUCGUACGAAUAAGGAUCGGCUAACUCCGUGCCAGCAGCCGCGGUAAUACGGAGGAUUCAAGCGUUAUCCGGAUUUAUUGGGUUUAAAGGGUGCGUAGGCGGUCGGAUAAGUUAGAGGUGAAAUCCCGGGGCUCAACUUCGGCCCGCCGUUGAAACUGGCAGUCGCGAGUUGGAGAGAAGUAUGCGGAAUGCGCGGUGUAGCGGUGAAAUGCAUAGAUAUCGCGCAGAACUCCGAUUGCGAAGGCAGCAUGCCGGCUCCACACUGACGCUGAGGCACGAAAGCGUGGGUAUCGAACAGGAUUAGAUACCCCAGUAGUC